AGGGUUCGAGUUCUGGCUCAGGAUGAACGCUAGCUACAGGCUUAACACAUGCAAGUCGAGGGGCAGCAUGAUCUAGCUUGCUUAGAUUGAUGGCGACCGGCGCACGGGUGAGUAACGCGUAUCCAACCUUCCCUAUAGUAGAGGAUAGCCCGGCGAAAGUCGGAUUAAUACUCUAUGUUUUCCAAUGCAGACAUCUAAAAAUGGAACAAAGGUUUACCGCUAUAGGAUGGGGAUGCGUCUGAUUAGGUUGUUGGCGGGGUAACGGCCCACCAAGCCUACGAUCAGUAGGGGUUCUGAGAGGAAGGUCCCCCACAUUGGAGCUGAGACACGGUCCAAACUCCUACGGGAGGCAGCAGUGAGGAAUAUUGGUCAAUGGGCGAGAGCCUGAACCAGCCAAGUAGCGUGCAGGAUGACGGCCCUGUGGGUUGUAAACUGCUUUUAUAUAGGGAUAAAGUGACCCACGUGUGGGUUUUUGUAGGUACUAUAUGAAUAAGGACCGGCUAAUUCCGUGCCAGCCGCAGC
RNAcentral lists this ribosomal RNA (522 nucleotides) under uncultured bacterium. RNAcentral's name for it is "bacterial SSU rRNA". It matches the Rfam family "Bacterial small subunit ribosomal RNA", at positions 1 to 518 of the family's 1533-position model. The record is from RNAcentral.